Molecule: ribosomal RNA, 477 nt
Filed under: uncultured bacterium
Lineage: Bacteria
Description: partial 16S ribosomal RNA
Rfam family: Bacterial small subunit ribosomal RNA
Source: RNAcentral
AUUGAACGCUGGCGGCAUGCCUUACACAUGCAAGUCGAACGGUAACAGGUUAAGCUGACGAGUGGCGAACGGGCGAGUAAUGUAUCGGAACGUGCCCAGUCGUGGGGGAUAACUGCUGGAAAGAGCAGCUAAUACCGCAUACGACCUGGGGGAGUAAGCGGGGGAUCGCAAGACCUCGCGCGAUUGGAGCGGUCGAUAUCAGAUUAGGUAGUUGGUGAGGUAAAGGCUCACCAAGCCGACGAUCUGUAGCUGGUCUGAGAGGACGACCAGCCACACUGGGACUGAGACACGGCCCAGACUCCUACGGGAGGCAGCAGUGGGGAAUUUUGGACAAUGGGCGCAAGCCUGAUCCAGCCAUGCCGCGUGCGUGAAGAAGGCCUUCGGGUUGUAAACCGCUUUUGUCAGGGAAGAAAAGGUUCUGGCUAAUACCUGGGACUCAUGACGGUACCUGAAGAAUAAGCACCGGCUAACUACGUG